RNAcentral lists this ribosomal RNA (492 nucleotides) under uncultured bacterium. RNAcentral's name for it is "partial 16S ribosomal RNA". It matches the Rfam family "Bacterial small subunit ribosomal RNA", at positions 29 to 507 of the family's 1533-position model. The record is from RNAcentral.
AGUGAACGCUGGCGGUAGGCCUAACACAUGCAAGUCGAACGGCAGCACAGUAAGAGCUUGCUCUUACGGGUUGCGAGUGGCGGACGGGUGAGGAAUACAUCGGAAUCUACUUUUUCGUGGGGGAUAACGUAGGGAAACUUACGCUCAUACCGCAUACGACCUACGGUUGAAAGCAUGGGAUCUUCGGACCUUGCGCGAUUGAAUGAGCCGAUGUCGGAUUAGCUAGUUGGCGGGGUAAAGGCCCACCAAGGCGACGAUCCGUAGCUGGUCUGAGAGGAUGAUAAGCGACACUGGAACUGAGACACGGUCCAGACUCCUAAGGGAGGCAGCAGUGGGGAAUAUUGGACAAUGGGCGCAAGCAUGAUCCAGCCAUACCGCGUGGGUGAAGAAGGCCUUCGGGUUGUAAAGCCCUUUUGUUGGGAAAGAAAAGCAGCAGGUUAAUACCACGCUGUUCUGACGGUACCCAAAGAAUAAGCACCGGCUAACUUCGUG